AUUGAACGCUGGCGGCAGGCCUUACACAUGCAAGUCGAACGAGUGGCGGACGGGUGAGUAAUGUCUGGGAACCUGCCCGGUGGAGGGGGAUAACUACUGGAAACGGUAGCUAAUACCGCAUACCAUCGGAUGUGCCCAGAUGGGAUUAGCUAGUAGGUGGGGUAAAGGCUCACCUAGGCGACGAUCCCUAGCUGGUCUGAGAGGAUGACCAGCCACACUGGAACUGAGACACGGUCCAGACUCCUACGGGAGGCAGCAGUGGGGAAUAUUGCACAAUGGGCGAAAGCCUGAUGCAGCCAUGCCGCGUGUAUGAAGAAGGCCUUCGGGUUGUAAAGUACUUUCAGCGGGGAGGCGUUACCUGCAGAAUAAGCACCGGCUAACUACGUGCCAGCAGCCGCGGUAAUAC
RNAcentral lists this ribosomal RNA (406 nucleotides) under uncultured bacterium. RNAcentral's name for it is "partial 16S ribosomal RNA". It matches the Rfam family "Bacterial small subunit ribosomal RNA", at positions 30 to 526 of the family's 1533-position model. The record is from RNAcentral.